RNAcentral lists this transfer RNA (77 nucleotides) under [Eubacterium] saphenum. RNAcentral's name for it is "tRNA-Asp(gtc)". It matches the Rfam family "tRNA". From Rfam's summary of the family: Transfer RNA (tRNA) molecules are approximately 80 nucleotides in length. Their secondary structure includes four short double-helical elements and three loops (D, anti-codon, and T loops). Further hydrogen bonds mediate the characteristic L-shaped molecular structure. tRNAs have two regions of fundamental functional importance: the anti-codon, which is responsible for specific mRNA codon recognition, and the 3' end, to which the tRNAs corresponding amino acid is attached (by aminoacyl-tRNA synthetases). tRNAs cope with the degeneracy of the genetic code in two manners: having more than one tRNA (with a specific anti-codon) for a particular amino acid; and 'wobble' base-pairing, i.e. permitting non-standard base-pairing at the 3rd anti-codon position. RNAcentral also lists the same sequence under 6 other names. The record is from RNAcentral. Lineage: Bacteria; Bacillati; Bacillota; Clostridia; Peptostreptococcales; Anaerovoracaceae.
GGGGUCGUAGCUCAGUCGGUUAGAGUGUCGGCCUGUCACGCCGAAGGUCGCGAGUUCGAGUCUCGUCGGCCCCGCCA